ACCGGGGGCGGGGCUUGGGCUGGCUGCCGGUCGGGGCGCAACCGAGAAGGCGUCGGGUCGCAUCGGCGCAGUGAGUUGGUGCUGUGGGCGGUUCGCAGCAAGAAGUGCGAGGUACAGAUGAGCGCGAAAAGGGUCUACGUGAAGGUCCAAGGCUGAUGUCUCCAAGAGGCUUAGAACUAAUAGGCUCCUAUGAGUCCCAACCUGUGCCUUGGGAUUUGAGGACUUCUUUCCUGAGCUUUACCUCUGACCCAGGGCUGUGAUUCUGCCUCAGAGAUGAACAUUGGCAUAGACUGUCACCUUUCUCCAGUAUGCUUGGGCUACACAUGGCAAGAAGAAGAGCUCGGAGUCCAGAAUUCUGCUCCAAGAGGUUCAGAGGUCUCCAGAUCCGGAGGAAAAACAUCCAGACCUGAUGUUGAGGCCAUCACACCAUCCAAGACUUUGAUCUUAAUGCUCUUAGUAGCCUACUAUAGCCAAACCUGAAUCCAAUUCUGGAGUCGGUCACCAUUACCCUGUUUACCCCCUCACAACCGAAGCUGACUAGGAAUUACCAUUUACCAGAAGACUCCA
This is a long non-coding RNA of Herpailurus yagouaroundi (jaguarundi), 567 nucleotides long. RefSeq lists it as uncharacterized. Lineage: Eukaryota; Metazoa; Chordata; Mammalia; Carnivora; Felidae. The record is from RefSeq and is a predicted model, not a curated record. The transcript is spliced from 4 exons.